AGUAGAUGACCUGUGUCCAUCGCUGUCUGCGUGUUCUGUGCGUGUAUUUAUGUGUGUGUGUGUCCAUCCUUCGAGAGAGGGGGUUCAAGGGUACCUCGCCUGCCUCCUCAUCGCAAAUUAACGCGGGCCGUUGUUCGCGACCGGUUACCCAGCUGAUCGGAGUGAGUUCAGUAAUUACAGGCUGCGCCCGCGACCGUCGACUCACACACACGCAACGACGGAGAAAGGGCGCGCGCGAGAAGGGAGGAAGGACAGGUUCCUAGCUGGGAUAUAAAGCCGUGUGUUCGUUACUGGUUACGGCAGAAAGCGACACGAUAGAUAAACGAGGAGUACGACGCACGCAUGCAGGCGCGGUGUCGGACGUUGACUCGUGUGACAUAGUGUGUGGAUACGAGUGGAGUACAUUUUAGCAACGCUUUCUCGUGCCGUGCGUGUCUGUGUAUGUGUGUGAACACACGUGGUUGGCUGGCUGUUCGUCUUUCCUUCGCUAUACGUGCUCGAGCGGUCUAAACAGUACGACACGUCGACGAGGACAGUGUAAUUAAGUGUUUAUACAACAAGAUCAGCAGCGGCGGUGGAGGAGGAUAGAUGGAGGGAUACAGCAUGAUGGAGGAGCUGGAGAAACGGCUCGAGACCGCUAGAGACUAUGACAGCAGGAGGAAAAUCAGAUCCAGGAUACGAGAGCUAAAGAAAAUAAUAGGCAGUGAUAGUACAUGCGCGCCCUCUGUGAGCGAGCUGCACAUCCAGCUGAAGGGCUCUCCAAUGACGAAGUCCGACAAUCUGUCAUUGUCAACGUAUCACGUGGACAGCAUCACGGACUCCGGUCGAAGACAAGACGUGACGUCACGGAUCAACACAGUUGUGACACCUGGAGGUUCGCAGGUGAUGCAGCAGCGGACCAUGAUGCUGUCGCAGAAGAUGACAAAUAGCGGCUCCAGCUGUCUGGAGCGCGACACGAUAUUGUCAAAAUACAGGAUAACUCCCGCUGGUUCCGAGCAGACGUCGAUGAAUGUGAUUCACACGACGCGACUGAAGAGCCCCGCAGGCACGAAACGCGUGGAAGGAGAGAGUUACCAGACCAAGGAGCGUCUAUCACCCGGGGGCACGCAAACACAGCACGUCUGUGAAGUACAGCUGCAGUACAGGGACCGCGGCAGCAGCAGUCCGGUGUCGGUGUCGCCACCUAGAGGACAGAUGGUGACCAAGGGCAGCAAGGUUAAGCGCCAUCAGUCCAUCCUAUCCAAGAGAGUUGGGGACGAAAGGUCGAGGCGGGAAGUUAUCGCCAAGGCGAGCAGCGGCUACAGCAGCGGCAGCGCCUCAGAUGAGGACUCCUUCCUGCCGGACUCCCCCGACCCCAUCGAUGCCUCCCUCAUCCGCUCGCUCGAGCAGGACUUCCUCAGCACUCUAAACUACAGCCUGGACGCCGACGACUCGCUAGGUGGCGCCACCGAUGCGACGCCGGAUGCAGCCGACGCGACCGGUCCCGCCAGGCGGAGCUCCAGCUCCGGGAGUUGUGCUUCGACCGGCGUCGACGACGACGAUGACGGCGGUGACGGCGACGACGAUGAUGACGACGAUGAUGACGACAAUGAUGACGAAAACAGAGAAAGCCAAGCUUCUCCGUCGCUCCGUCCGGAGGAGGAGCAGUCGCAGCGCCAUCUCGCGGCAGCGAGCGCCGAUGCCGACGUCUUCGUGUCGUCGAUCUCGCGGACUGCCGAGCAGGUGGCGCCCUCUCGCCCGCCGCGCACGAAGAAGCACCGCCCGCCGCCACUCGACCUCAAGCGUCGGCUCGGGGACCGAGACAACCCGUUCGCAACAACGGGCGCCUCCCCACUGCGCGCCGACGACGUCGACAGCCGUGCCUCCGUACCCGGCGGCGGCGACGACGUCGCAGAGGAGGUGGCCGACGACCAGGAGAACCCGUUCUGCGUCAUCGUUGAGCCGACGCUCGGCAGCGGGGUCGUGCGCGGCGGCGUCGCCCCGACAAUGCUGAGUAUCGUCUGCCCCGUGACGCUGCCCAGCAACGACGCAGACGAUACCGACGAUGACGAUGAUGUGCCGACGCCAGACGCCGGAAGCGUCGGCAUGACGUACGCCUCGCACGCGGAGACGAUCGUGUCGUCGGCUCGCGCGCCGCCGACGUCCGCGAGCGACGUGACAUCACGAUCCUUCACGUCCGACACGAUCCACGUGACGACCAGCGCUGCGCGUACGGUGGCGCCAUCUGGCGUGAACGGUUACGAGGAAACGAGUGGCGGUACGCGAGGUGCGGAGAAAGCGGGGCUGGUCAUAGAAGAGUUGCCCGGAGACGUGCACGAGCUACCUUCAGCCAGAGUUGGUGGAAGCAAUAUGGCGGAGUUGGAGAUUAUACGUGUGCGGGACGAGGUAGAAGAGGUUUCCAUUAGCAACGAUGAGAUCGAGGAAGAAAUCAUACAGGUGGCGGAGGACGAAGAAGAAGAAGAAGAAGAAGAAGAAGAAGAAAAGGAUGAGUUCACGUGGUGGGAGUUGUACUCGAUCUCGGACGGGAAGGAGCAGAAGAAGAUGGACAGUCUUUGGAAGGUUAACGACAUCAACCAGCUUGAGAACAUGCUGGUCGGAGCUCAGGACUUCGAGACGCGACGCGUGAUCCGCUCUCGUCUGCAGGAGGUGAAGAGGAAGCACAAGGACGAGAGGGAGGCGAUGAUGAGGAAGAAUAACCAGAGUCUACAGCUUCGCAGUGCUCCUCAACCCUUCGAAGGAAUGCAGCAGCAGCACAUGCAGGCAGAGGCUGAGUGGAGAAGGCAGGCAGAACUGAGUGGCUUUGAAGACAUGGCGAUGGGCAACCCCUUAGGAGCCAAUAGACAAGUCAUCCACGAGACAAGAACCGGUCCAGGUGGCACCACCGUCAUGUCAACUAGGAACACCUUCACUACACACAACCCCAACGUACGGAGCUAUCACAACGUGUUACUGCAGGACACGAGGGCCGUCACAAACACGGGAAACGUCGUUGACUACUCGCACUUGCAAUCUCCCGACGAUGCGGAACAUUUGGUACAGCGCCUGUCAGGACUGGGAGACAGGGAUGGCAGUGGCUCGGUCACCAUAACCAGAACGCAGACAAGCAUGGUGAAUGGAAAAUCUUCAACCGAAACCAGCACGAAAACGCAUAGCUUUGGUAAUCCAGCUGGUGGAAAUCAAGCUAGGUUAGCAUUCCAAAAGUUGGAUGCUGUGAGCAAUCCGAAACCAAUGAGAGGCGCCACCAUAAGGAAUGAUGUGAAGGCCGUGAAAGCUGAACUGCUAGAUUACUGUCAAUCGAACACGCAGGAAUAUGACAGCGACCAGGUCAAUCACUCUUGGUGGGAGCACCCCGGGAGUGUUUAAUGCAAAUACCGCCAAAGAACAGCUGCUCUACUGGUGCCAGGCAAAGACGACAGAGUAUCCUGUCGAAAUAACGAAUUUCUCGAGCAGCUGGGCGAAUGGAGUCGCAUUCUGUGCGCUGGUGCAUCACUACUUCCCUCGAGCGUUCGAUUUCGG
RNAcentral lists this unclassified non-coding RNA (3516 nucleotides) under Priapulus caudatus. RNAcentral describes it as "uncharacterized LOC106817857, transcript variant X8". Lineage: Eukaryota; Metazoa; Priapulida; Priapulimorpha; Priapulimorphida; Priapulidae. The record is from RNAcentral.